ACAGUAUCAAACACAGAGUGGCAGAUUAGUAGCAAACAUAUCCAAAUGAGGGACAAAUGGGAAUAUCCAAAUAAACAGGCAAAAGGCUGGGUCACGUGAAACCUGGAGCCUAUCCCAGGGAGCAUCGGGUACAAGGCGGGGUACACCCUGGACAGGGCGCCAGUCCAUCGCAGGGCACAAACACAUACACACUCACACACCCAUUCAUACACUACGGACACUUUAGACAUGCCAAUCAGCCUACCAUGCAUGUCUUUGGACUGGGAGAGGAAACGAGAGUACCCGGAGGAAACCCCCGCAGCACGGGGAGAACAUGCAAACUCCGCACACACAU
Molecule: long non-coding RNA, 334 nt
Organism: Ictalurus punctatus (channel catfish)
Lineage: Eukaryota; Metazoa; Chordata; Actinopteri; Siluriformes; Ictaluridae
Source: Ensembl